RNAcentral lists this transfer RNA (89 nucleotides) under Afipia sp. GAS231. It matches the Rfam family "tRNA". Rfam says of the family: Transfer RNA (tRNA) molecules are approximately 80 nucleotides in length. Their secondary structure includes four short double-helical elements and three loops (D, anti-codon, and T loops). Further hydrogen bonds mediate the characteristic L-shaped molecular structure. tRNAs have two regions of fundamental functional importance: the anti-codon, which is responsible for specific mRNA codon recognition, and the 3' end, to which the tRNAs corresponding amino acid is attached (by aminoacyl-tRNA synthetases). tRNAs cope with the degeneracy of the genetic code in two manners: having more than one tRNA (with a specific anti-codon) for a particular amino acid; and 'wobble' base-pairing, i.e. permitting non-standard base-pairing at the 3rd anti-codon position. Lineage: Bacteria; Pseudomonadati; Pseudomonadota; Alphaproteobacteria; Hyphomicrobiales; Nitrobacteraceae. The record is from Rfam by way of RNAcentral. RNAcentral also lists the same sequence under 1 other name.
GGAGAGGUGGCCGAGUGGCUGAAGGCAGCGCUUUGCUAAAGCGCCAUACGGCGAAAGUUGUAUCAAGGGUUCGAAUCCCUUCCUCUCCG